Non-coding RNA from Podarcis lilfordi (Lilford's wall lizard), 71 nucleotides. Lineage: Eukaryota; Metazoa; Chordata; Lepidosauria; Squamata; Lacertidae. The record is from the annotation of a GenBank genome assembly.
GGGCCAUAGCUCAGUGGUAGAGCAUCUGCUCUGCAUGCAGAACUCCCCAGGUUCAAUCCCCAGCAUCUCCA